RNAcentral lists this long non-coding RNA (1157 nucleotides) under Cavia porcellus (domestic guinea pig). RNAcentral's name for it is "lncRNA (ENSCPOG00000030744.1)". Lineage: Eukaryota; Metazoa; Chordata; Mammalia; Rodentia; Caviidae. The record is from RNAcentral.
GGAGGCUGGAGCAGCUGACAAAGCUUCCUGGGGAAUCAGAUCUGGGGCUCUGCUGGUUUCCCGGCAGAUGGGCCUGGACCAACACAGACAUUGAGCAUCAGGCAGGACAUUGGGAAGAGGCUGGGGUCCUAUCUCAGUGGCCGCUGCUAUCAAGGACCUUGGUGGACAGUGGUACCAGACAAUCUGGCUUAUCUGGGUGGGACACACGGUAAAUGGGCCGGGAGCAGACCAUGCCACUGCCUGAACAGCCCUGCAGCCUCAGCUUGGGGCUGCAGUGCUUGACCAGCCAAGCUGGGUGGUUGGGACAGUCCUCUUUCCCUCUCCUCUCCCAGCUGCUCUUGCCCACUCUACUGUCCUCCCUCAAGGGGUCUGGGGCCUUCCAGUGCUGAUCCUGCUGCUGUACACCCGUGGAGUCGAGCCCAGAGGUGUCCCUGGCCAGGGAGCAGUGGCUCGGCCACCCAUGAGCUGGCAGUGGGUGGUCCCGGCUCUAGUUGCAGCUGCACCUACCUUCUCCCAACCGAGGGGCCAUGGUGCUGGCCCGUCUCUGUCCUGGAGGCUUGUCACCAGGCCUCAGCAGCCACCCUCCACAGGAAGCUACUCUGAGCCUGCUGGGGUGUGCAAGUGAAACCCCGCCCCGGGGUCCCCGAUCUUUGCCCCCUUCCACCUGCCUGGCCUGCAGCACAGCACAUUGUGCGACAUUUUGUGUUGGGCUCAGGAGGGCUGUGCUGCGCUGCUCAGGAGGAGGUUGCAGGAGGAGGGAACCCCCGUCCCGGCCAUGCCAGCCAGGUUGCUGGUUGGGGCCACCUGUGCCACGCUCCUGCUCCUGCUUCUGCCGCCUGAGGUGCCUGGCCGAGGCCCCUCUGGAAGGACACAGCCGGGGCCCUUUGCCAAUGAGAGGCGCCGCCUGGGCCCCCACGUCUGCCUCUCAGUCCUCGGGAGUGGUUGCUGCCCGGGCUGGGCGCCCUCCAUGGGUAGCGGGCACUGUACCCUGCGUAAGUGCUGUCCACACACCCGCCCUACUUGGUGCAGGGGCAGACGGUGGCUGUCCAGCCCCUUACCGGAAUCUCUCCCUCAGCCCUCUGCUCCUUUGGCUGCGGGAGUGGCGUUUGUAUCGCACCGAAUGUCUGCUCCUGUGUGGAUGGGGAGCAAGGGGCCAC